AACGAACGCUGGCGGCGUGCCUAACAUAUGCAAGUCGAGCGAGAAAGGCGCCUUCGGGUGCUGAGUAAAGCGGCGGACGGGUGAGUAACACGUGGGUAACCUACCCUUCGGUGGGGGAUAACAUCCUGAAAGGGGUGCUAAUACCGCAUGAGACCCCAGCGCUUUCGGGCGCAGAGGUCAAAGGCGGCGUUCUUCGGGGCGUCGUUGCCGAAGGAGGGGCCCGCGGACCAUUAGCUAGUUGGUGGGGUAAUGGCCUACCAAGGCUGCAAUGGUUAGCUGGUCUGAGAGGAUGAUCAGCCACACUGGAACUGAGACACGGUCCAG
RNAcentral lists this ribosomal RNA (324 nucleotides) under uncultured bacterium. RNAcentral describes it as "bacterial SSU rRNA". It matches the Rfam family "Bacterial small subunit ribosomal RNA", at positions 29 to 334 of the family's 1533-position model. The record is from RNAcentral.